GGUCAAGUAAAAAAGAGCAUAUGGCGGAUGCCUAGGCGCCAAGAGUCGAAGAAGGACGUAGCCAGCAACGAUAAGCUGUGGGGAGCUGCAAGCAAGCGUUAAAUCCACAGAUUUCCGAAUGGGGAAACCCAGUGGGUAGAAGGCCCACUACCGCUAAGUGAACAAAAUAGCUUAGUAGGAGGCAACCAGGAGAACUGAACCAUCUAAGUAUCCUGAGGAAGAGAAAGAAACAUCGAUUCCCUGAGUAGCGGCGAGCGGAAGGGGAAGAGCCCAAACCAAGUACUUGUACUUGGGGUUGAGGACUCCAAUAAUCGAGUGGAAUCUAAUUGAAUGGGAAGGGAAGCCCAGCCGUAGAGCGUGAUAGCCGCGUAAAUGAAAGAGGAAGCAAGAGUGGAGUAUCCAGAGUAGUGCAGGACACGUGAAACCCUGUAUGAAGCAGGGGGACCACCCCCCAAGGCUAAAUACUCCUUGGCGACCGAUAGUGAAGCAGUACCGUGAGGGAAAGGUGAAAAGCACCCCGGGAGGGGAGUGAAAUAGAACCUGAAACCAUAUGCUUACAAUGAAUUCGAGCACUACGGUGUGAGAGUGUACUUUUUGUAGAACGGACCGGCGAGUUACCAUGAAUAGCAAGGUUAAGGAAUAAAGUUCUGGAGCCGCAGCGAAAGCGAGUCUGAAUAGGGCGAAUAGAGUUAUUGGUGGUAGACCCGAAACCGCGUGAUCUACGCAUGGCCAGAGUGAAGCGUAUGUAAGAGUACGUGGAGGCUCGAACCCACUGAAGUUGAAAAUUCAGGGGAUGAGUUGUGUGUAGGGGUGAAAUGCCAAUCGAACGCGGAGAUAGCUGGUACUCUCCGAAAUAGCUUUAGGGCUAGCCUCAAUCGGUGAGUCAGGGGCGUAGAGCACUGAUGGAAUAAGGGGACUUCACCGUCUACCAACUUCUGUCAAACUCCGAAGUCCAACUGACUUUAGAUUGGGAGUCAGACUGCGAAUGAUAAGAUCCGUAGUCGAGAGGGAAACAACCCAGACCACCUGCUAAGGUCCCCAAGUCAUAACUAAGUGGAGAAGGAGGUGGGAUUGCAUAGACAACCAGGAUGUUGGCUUAGAAGCAGCCAUACAUUUAAAGAGUGCGUAAUAGCUCACUGGUCAAGUGAUCCUGCGCCGAAAAUGAACGGGGCUAAAGUUAUGCACCGAAGCAGUGGCUAGAUAGUAAUAUCUGGGGUAGGAGAGCAUUGCAUGGGCGGAGAAGCUGUGCUGUAAGGCAUGGUGGAGCGCAUGGAAGAGAGAAUGCCGGUAUGAGUAGCGAGAAGGAAAGUGAGAAUCUUUCCCGUCGAAAGCCCAAGGUUUCCUGAGGAAGGCUCGUCCACUCAGGGUAAGUCGGGGCCUAAGCCGAGGCCGAAAGGCGUAGGCGAUGGAUAACUAGUUGAGAUUCUAGUACCACCUAAUAUUGCUUGAGUGAAGCAAUGACACAGGAAGGUAGGGACCGCGCACUGUUGGAGGUGCGUCCAAAUGUGUAGGCAGUGAUUGCAGGUAAGUCCGCAGUUACAUAUGCUGAGGCAUGAUGGGGAGCGAAAUGAAGUAGCGAACGGCCUGAUCCUACGCUGUCGAGAAAAGUUGCUAGCGAGAUAGAAGGUGCCCGUACCGUAAACCGACACAGGUAGGCAAGGAGAGAAUCCUAAGACGCGCAGGAGAACCCCUGUUAAGGAACUCGGCAAAAUGACUCCGUAACUUCGGGAGAAGGAGUGCUCUAAUAUUGUGAAGUUCCUUGCGAAUGGAGCAAGAAAGAGUUGCAGAUGAGAGGCUCAAGCGACUGUUUACCAAAAACACAGGUCUCUGCUAAAGCGAAAGCUGAAGUAUAGGGGCUGACGCCUGCCCGGUGCUGGAAGGUUAAGGGGAAGUGUUAGCGUAAGCGAAGCACAGAACUGAAGCCCCAGUGAACGGCGGCCGUAACUAUAACGGUCCUAAGGUAGCGAAAUUCCUUGUCGGGUAAGUUCCGACCCGCACGAAAGGCGUAACGGUUUGAGCGCUGUCUCAACAGGGGGCCUGGUGAAAUUGCAAUGCACGUGAAGAUGCGUGCUACCCGCGACUGGACAGAAAGACCCCGUGAAGCUUUACUACAGCUUGAUAUUGGGUUUCGGUACUACAUGUACAGGAUAGGUGGGAGACUGUGAAGCUAGGACGUCAGUCUUAGUGGAGUCAAUGUUGGGAUACCACCCUUGUAGUGCUGAAAUUCUAACCCGUGUCCGUAAGCCGGGCAGGGGACAGUGUCAGGUGGGUAGUUUGACUGGGGCGGUCGCCUCCUAAAGAGUAACGGAGGCGCUCCAAGGUUCCCUCAGCGCGGAUGGAAAUCGCGCGAAGAGUGCAAAGGCAUAAGGGAGCUUGACUGUAAGACAUACAGGUCGAGCAGGAACGAAAGUUGGACUUAGUGAUCCGGCGGUACCGAGUGGAAGGGCCGUCGCUAAACGGAUAAAAGCUACUCCGGGGAUAACAGGCUUAUCUCGCCCAAGAGUCCAUAUCGACGGCGAGGUUUGGCACCUCGAUGUCGGCUCAUCACAUCCUGGAGCUGAAGCAGGUUCCAAGGGUUGGGCUGUUCGCCCAUUAAAGUGGUACGUGAGCUGGGUUCAGAACGUCGUGAGACAGUUCGGUCCAUAUCCGUCGCGGGCGUAGGAAAAUUGAAGAGAGCUGUCCCUAGUACGAGAGGACCGGGAUGGACGAACCGCUGGUGUAUCAGUUGUCUCGCCAGAGGCACCGCUGAGUAGCUAAGUUCGGAAGGGAUAAACGCUGAAAGCAUCUAAGCGUGAAGCCUCCUUUAAGACUAGUUUUCCCACCGAAAGGGUAAGGCACCAUGAAGAAGACGUGGUAGAUAGGCCAGAGGUGUAAGUGUGGCGACACAUUCAGCUGACUGGUACUAAUAAGCCGAGGACUUGACCUC
RNAcentral lists this ribosomal RNA (2926 nucleotides) under Clostridium sp. 'deep sea'. RNAcentral's name for it is "Bacterial large subunit ribosomal RNA". It matches the Rfam family "Bacterial large subunit ribosomal RNA". The record is from Rfam by way of RNAcentral. Lineage: Bacteria; Bacillati; Bacillota; Clostridia; Eubacteriales; Clostridiaceae.